Molecule: ribosomal RNA, 468 nt
Filed under: uncultured bacterium
Lineage: Bacteria
Description: partial 16S ribosomal RNA
Rfam family: Bacterial small subunit ribosomal RNA
Source: RNAcentral
GACGAACGCUGGCGGCGUGCUUAACACAUGCAAGUCGAACGGAAAGGCCCUGCUUUUGUGGGGUGCUCGAGUGGCGAACGGGUGAGUAACACGUGAGUAACCUGCCCUUGACUUUGGGAUAACUUCAGGAAACUGGGGCUAAUACCGGAUAGGACCUCCUGCUGCAUGGUGGGGGUUGGAAAGUUUCGGCGGUUGGGGAUGGACUCGCGGCUUACCAGCUUGUUGGUGGGGUAGUGGCUUACCAAGGCUUUGACGGGUAGCCGGCCUGAGAGGGUGACCGGCCACAUUGGGACUGAGAUACGGCCCAGACUCCUACGGGAGGCAGCAGUGGGGAAUAUUGCACAAUGGGUGGAAGCCUGAUGCAGCAACGCCGCGUGCGGGAUGACGGCCUUCGGGUUGUAAACCGCUUUCGCCUGUGACGAAGCGUGAGUGACGGUAAUGGGUAAAGAAGCACCGGCUAACUACGUG